CGCUCCCACAGCUGUCACAAUGACCUUCAUAAAUGCCUUAAAGCAAUGCAAAGUAUUAAGGAACAGUUGGUUCCUUGGUCUAGUAGUGCAUCAGUGUUUCUAUUUAAGAGUAAAACUGUUAUUGUUUUAAUAUAUAUGAUGAUGCUUCAUUGUGUGACACUGUUAACACCUUGUGUUGUUGAAAACGUAAAAUGUUGAGCUACCCCUGUCACUGUAACAUGAUUGCAGAAUAAUAUGUUGGACCUGUUGGACCCCCGGACAGCUGUGUGCGGAGCGAGAGCGUCUUUGGUGAUUACCUCUGUGUGCCCACUGAGGCGGGUCCGUUAGGGAUCCUACAUCAUGGAAUGGGGCUUGAGUGAAGAAGUGUUGGGAUUUGGUUCCUGGAUCACACACACUUUUGAGUAAGGUCAAAAUAGAUCUUGGCCGCGGUGGAUGCAAUAGGAUCAUGGGAAAGUACACUGAGGGAUCACGUGAGAAACAAAGGAAUCCAGGUAACGGUGGGAUGUCUCAGCGUGGGCAUGGAAACCAUGUCCAGUUGACACGGUUACGGUGGCAUCUCCCCCAUUCAUCUACACCUGUAAAGGGCCCAGGAUUCAGACCCAGCAAGAGACUCUGUUUGGAAGAGGAAGACUUAUCUGCAGAGUUUCAAUCUGAUCCGCUUGACUGAUCGUAUAACCCUGGGGAUUCUGUUACAGAGGAAUCCGAAAUAUGGUUUGGUCCUACGUACGGUGACCGAAAGUCAGACGCGCUGCUUGUGAACAGGCAAGGCUGGUUACUGCUUGGGAGGCUGGUUACUGCUUGGGGGGGCUGGUUACUGCUUGGGGCACCCGCCAGGCAGGCAGACAUAACUUCCUCAAAAAAUGUCAAAAUGUGGCAACCGCAACUCCCCCUCCCCUUUUUAUGAUUGAUUCCCACAGCGCCCUCAAAGUUUGCAUUGAAAAUGAAAAGGUGUUAUCCAUCUGGAAGUGACAAAAGAAAGCAAAAAACGGCAACAUGUGCCAUGACUGCUAAAAGUCUUUCACAAUAUGUACCCUGUUUUUUUUGCAAAUCUAAACAUUUUAAAUAAAAUAAUUUAUAUAAUUUGA
Gadus morhua (Atlantic cod) is the source of this 1085-nucleotide long non-coding RNA. RefSeq lists it as uncharacterized. NCBI's taxonomy places the organism in Eukaryota, Metazoa, Chordata, Actinopteri, Gadiformes, Gadidae. The transcript is spliced from 3 exons. The record is from RefSeq and is a predicted model, not a curated record.